UGGGGAAUAUUGGCACAAUGGGCGCAAGCCUGAUGCCAGCCAUGCCGCGUGUGUGAAGAAGGCCUUCGGGUUGUAAAGCACUUUCAGCGAGGAGGAAGGUGGUGAACUUAAUACGUUCAUCAAUUGACGUUACUCGCAGAAGAAGCACCGGCUAACUCCGUGCCAGCAGCCGCGGUAAUACGGAGGGUGCAAGCGUUAAUCGGAAUUACUGGGCGUAAAGCGCACGCAGGCGGUUUGUUAAGUCAGAUGUGAAAUCCCCGGGCUCAACCUGGGAACUGCAUUUGAAACUGGCAAGCUAGAGUCUCGUAGAGGGGGGUAGAAUUCCAGGUGUAGCGGUGAAAUGCGUAGAGAUCUGGAGGAAUACCGGUGGCGAAGGCGGCCCCCUGGANGAAGACUGACGCUCAGGUGCGAAAGCGUGGGGAGCAAACAG
Molecule: ribosomal RNA, 430 nt
Filed under: uncultured bacterium
Lineage: Bacteria
Description: partial 16S ribosomal RNA
Rfam family: Bacterial small subunit ribosomal RNA
Source: RNAcentral